AGCCCCGUCGUCUAGUGGCCAAGGAUACANNCCGGUUCGAAUCCGGGUGGGGCUA
RNAcentral lists this transfer RNA (55 nucleotides) under Candidatus Iainarchaeum sp. Its description in RNAcentral is "tRNA-Ser". Lineage: Archaea; Nanobdellati; Candidatus Iainarchaeota; Candidatus Iainarchaeia; Candidatus Iainarchaeales; Candidatus Iainarchaeaceae. The record is from RNAcentral.